Molecule: unclassified non-coding RNA, 1350 nt
Filed under: uncultured Neocallimastigales
Lineage: Eukaryota; Fungi; Neocallimastigomycota; Neocallimastigomycetes; Neocallimastigales
Description: partial contains small subunit ribosomal RNA, internal transcribed spacer 1, 5.8S ribosomal RNA, internal transcribed spacer 2, and large subunit ribosomal RNA
Rfam family: Eukaryotic large subunit ribosomal RNA (bases 591-1350)
Source: RNAcentral
UUUCCGUAGGUGAACCUGCGGAAGGAUCAUUAAAAAUAAUCACAGUUUUGUGAUUUAAUAAUCAUCUACCCUUUGUGAAUUUGUUUUGUUAGAAAAUUAUGUGUCUAUCCUGAUGGUUUUGGAAAAGUUGAAAAACUUUUUCGAAUCCUCAGGGACUAGGCUUUCAUAGACCUUUUUUAAAUUAAACUUUUGUAUUCAUUUGUCUAAAAUUUAUUUUAAUAAUUUAAAAACAACUUUUGACAAUGGAUCUCUUGGUUCUCGCAACGAUGAAGAACGCAGCAAAUGCGAUAAGUAAUGUGAAUUGCAGAAUACGUGAAUCAUCAAAUCUUCGAACGCAUAUUGCACUUUUCUAGUUUACUAGAAAGUAUGUCUGUUUGAGUAUCAGUAAAUAUUCUCAUAAAAACAUUGUUUUUAUGGUUAUGAGUGUUUUACAACGAUAAACAAGUUGUUUCACUUUAAAUUGAUUUUUAAAAGCCAAUUUGGUUUUAUCUAAUAAAAUUGGAUAAAUUUUCCCGUAAAAGGAAUAAACUUUUCAGUUUUAAAGAGUAAACUUUAUUGAGCCUAAUAAAAGGAAAUUUAACUAAAUAACUUGAUCUCAAAUCAGAUAAGAGUACCCGCUGAACUUAAGCAUAUCAAUAAGCGGAGGAAAAGAAACUAACAAGGAUUCCCUUAGUAACGGCGAGUGAAGCGGGAAGAGCUCAAAUUGAAAUCUUCAAGGUUCUACCUUGACGAAUUGUAGUUUAUAGAAGUGUUUUCUGUUAGUGGAGUGGCAAAAGUUCUUGGAAUAGGACAUCAUAGAGGGUGAGAAUCCCGUAUUGGUCAUUCCUCCUAGCGCUGUGAUACACUUUCAACGAGUCGGAUUGUUUGGAAUGCAGUCCAAAAUGGGUGGUAAAUUUCAUCUAAAGCUAAAUAUUGGCGAGAGACCGAUAGCGAACAAGUACCGUGAGGGAAAGAUGAAAAGAACUUGAAAAGAGAGUUAAACAGUACGUGAAAUUGUCAAAAGGGAAGCGUUUGACACCAGUGUUGUUUUUCCGAAAAUCAAUUACGAAUGUUUUAUUUUGAGGAGUUAUGACUUCAUCGGCUUGCUCCUUUCUUUACGAAACUUUCUUAAUGCACUUUUCGGUUAACAGUCAACAUCAAUUUCUUUUGUUGUAAAGGUAUGAGGAAGGUGGCUUCUUUUCGGAGAAAGUGUUUAUAGCCUUGUGCCUCUGCAAUCGGAGAGAUUGAGGUCUGCAGCGUAGAUCCUUCGGGGUUAGAUACUUUGUGCUAAGUUAUAGCUUUUCAUAGACAACUUGUUGACUAUGUUUAGUCUUGUAGCUUACUCGCUAUGCUAUUUACCUACGCUUAGGA